UUUAAAUUAUUCAGAUUUGCUUGAAAUCUCCUAAAAAUGUAAUGAAUUUUAAUGAAUUUAAAAAUUUUAUUUCCUUUUUUAUUAUAAUUGUGAUGUGCUGUGCACCGAGGUUCGAUGUUUUAUAUGCAUGAUGGGUGGGUGUCGUGUUGGGUUCGGUUGGGUUGGGAGAGAUUUUCGACCGGUCAGAUUCUCUGUUGCGUUUCUGUAUUGGUGUUUGGAGCUGCCGCCGGUGUGUGCUAUGGAUUGGGCGUUGCUGCAUCGUGGCGGUCGCUGCCGAUUGGCAUUGUUUUUUGGUGGGUUUUCCGUUGUUUUUUGUCGCAUUCUUUUUGGGUGGGGUCUAUUGCAAUUCAUGGGUGGUGCCUUCUUAUUUGCGUUUGGAC
This 380-nucleotide long non-coding RNA is filed under the name Androctonus crassicauda. Lineage: Eukaryota; Metazoa; Arthropoda; Arachnida; Scorpiones; Buthidae. The record is from RNAcentral.